CCUCCGUUCUGCCGCCGUGAGGAAUAUUGGUCAAUGGCCGGAAGGCUGAACCAGCCAAGCCGCGUGAGGGAGGAAGGCGCCGAGCGUCGCAGACCUCUUUUGCCGGGGGACAAAAGGCCGGACUCGUCCGGUCCUGAGGGUACCCGGAGAAAAAGCAUCGGCUAACUCCGUGCCAGCAGCCGCGGUAAUCCGGGGGAUGCGAGCGUUAUCCGGAUUCAUGGGGUUUAAAGGGUGCGCAGGCGGGCCUUUAAGCCGGCGGUGAAAUCGCGGGGCUCAACCCCGCCGAGCCGUCGGAACUGGGGGCCUUGAGUGCGGCGGAGGCAUGCGGAAGGCGCGGUGUAGCGGUGAAAUGCAUAGAUACCGCGCAGAACCCCGAUUGCGAAGGCAGCGUGCCGUGCCGCCACUGACGCUGAGGCACGAAAGCGCGGGGAUCGAACAGGAUUAGAUACCCCGGUAGUC
This 459-nucleotide ribosomal RNA is filed under the name uncultured bacterium. RNAcentral describes it as "partial 16S ribosomal RNA". It matches the Rfam family "Bacterial small subunit ribosomal RNA", at positions 338 to 795 of the family's 1533-position model. The record is from RNAcentral.